This is a long non-coding RNA of Peromyscus eremicus (cactus mouse), 1789 nucleotides long. RefSeq lists it as uncharacterized. NCBI's taxonomy places the organism in Eukaryota, Metazoa, Chordata, Mammalia, Rodentia, Cricetidae. The transcript has 3 exons. The record is from RefSeq and is a predicted model, not a curated record.
CAAACAGACUCCUCGGUGGUUUAUGAUUCUGACACAUUACAUUAACAAAGCAUUCCCAGCACUGCAGAAGGACCAAUUCUCUUACAGUGCUAAUGUAAUCCUCCAGAUAAAUCAUGCUGAUCAUAUACAAGCAAUCUGACAAAACAUCUACUUAAAGUGACAUAAAAAAGAUGCCCUGGGUCUUCCUCUUCCGGUUUCAUUCCUAACGGUAAGGUGAAAUCUGUUACGGCAAUGAGGCCGCAGACACAGAAGCAACAGUAUUCACAGAGCCUUCCCUGAGACCUUCAAAACGUCAGCACAAAUAUGAAAAUGGAAAUGUGUGAAGCAUCUGGUGGCGGCCCUCACUUCCUCCAAAGAAUCUAAUUUCUCAUAGAGUCAGAAGUUUUAUCUCCAACUGACCGCAUGCACGUAGAUGAACUGUCUUCUCUCAUUUCUAAAUAUAACAAUAUAGAAAUUCACUGCAAAAACUCGCUUUGCCUCUCAAAGUUAUUAGGACAUGCAUGACACAGCAUAUUAGUAAAAUACACACACAUACACACACACACACACACAUAAAAUUAUUGAACCUCAUUAAAUAAUCAGAUUCUUUGACUGGUCCUGGUCCCUGGCUCCUGAGAGGAGGACUGAACCUUUGGGAUUUCCCAAGAGAUAGGAUAAUCUUCAUUCUUCAUGGUGGAUUCCUCAGAUCACACCUUUAAGACUGGCUACAUCUCCCAACUCUGGAGGAGCAAAGAAAGAUGGAUACUGAGUUCAAAUGUGAGACCAGUGAUUCCGUCAAUAACGACCAUGUAAGCCCCAGUAAAAUCUCUGGCUGCUGGAGUUUUGAGGCAAAUUAAAAUACACAGAGACACCCCAAGAAAUUAAUCCUCUGAUUGAAAGAAAAAUAUAGAUCAGUUGAAAAGUUUGAAAUGGGAGGCGCUGUAUUGGACUCCUGCACUGGAGAGAUGAUUUCCAGUUCCUUUCCCCGGCAUUACGAAGAUUCUGUCUUAGCAUUUCUGAGGCAAGGCACAGCCGUGACAAGCACGUAAUGACCCGGAAGCUUUCAUCUUCAAACGCACUUUGAUGUGGGAGCCAGGGUCUGCAAUGCAUAAAUAAUGUGGACACUGUAGUACAGGAAGGUGAAAACGCAAAUGUCUCUUCAGCUAAAACGUUCUGUAAGUUAAGAAUGGCACGGCCAGUUCUUUUCUAGAUGGGAAGUUGCUAUAUCCAGAGAUUUGACUUGGUUAUUAUUCCAAUAAGCAUGCUUUCAGUUAAAGCCCUUGAAUUAAGGUAUUUCAUGUGCAAUAAGAAGAAGAUUAUCUCAACCUCUUCGCACAUUGCAUGCUGGGAUUGAAAUAGACACUCCUGGAUAAUAUCUAAAGGCUCAACAGGUGGAUACCAAAGAUCCUUUGAUAUUAGAAUGUGUCAGAGCGACAGAUGAGAUAUGAGUUCAGACAAGAAAGCAUCCUGGGAAAUAACCAAGAUAUCAAGUAAAACUGAAGCCUUCAAAAUAAAAUAAAAUAAAAUAAAGAGAGCGAGUCAUUGAGCCUAAAAAAAAAUCUAGGCAAUAAUAUCCUAAGACAAAUUAAAACAAGUAAAAGGGCUGAGUGAGAGGAAAAGUAACUCUCAUCAACUGAAUUCGAAGUAAUUACUUUUGAAAAAAAAAGUAAUCACAGGCACCAGCUCUUACAGACAGAUGAAUAGAAGCAUUCCGUUUAUACAGUGGAUAAGAGUGAGAACCUCAGUCUACCACCACAGACCUGUGCUGCCAGCCGAGCAGGCACAGCAUAGUCAAGGACCACACAUCAGC